RNAcentral lists this transfer RNA (75 nucleotides) under Candidatus Woesearchaeota archaeon. RNAcentral's name for it is "tRNA-Glu". It matches the Rfam family "tRNA". Rfam says of the family: Transfer RNA (tRNA) molecules are approximately 80 nucleotides in length. Their secondary structure includes four short double-helical elements and three loops (D, anti-codon, and T loops). Lineage: Archaea; Nanobdellati; Candidatus Woesearchaeota. The record is from RNAcentral.
GCCUCGGUAGUGUAGUCCGGCCCAUCAUUUUGCCCUUUCGAGGCAAAGACCCGGGUUCAAAUCCCGGCCGAGGCA